Molecule: microRNA precursor, 135 nt
Filed under: Vigna angularis (adzuki bean)
Lineage: Eukaryota; Viridiplantae; Streptophyta; Magnoliopsida; Fabales; Fabaceae
Description: pre miRNA MIR530
Source: RNAcentral
GUUUUGUUCUUAACUUUCUCCACCGAACUCCAAAUGACUUGAUUCUUGUUUUGUUGGAAUUUAGACUCAAAGAGAUUUCCAACAAAACAAGAAUCAACGCAUUUGGAGUUCGGUGGAGAAAGUUAUGAGCAAAAC